AACGAACGCUGGCGGCAGGCCUAACACAUGCAAGUCGAGCGCGCCCUUCGGGGUGGGCGGCGGACGGGUGAGUAACGCGUGGGAACGUGCCCUUUUCUACGGAAUAGCCUCGGGAAACUGAGAGUAAUACCGUAUACGCCCUUUGGGGGAAAGAUUUAUCGGAAAAGGAUCGGCCCGCGUUGGAUUAGGUAGUUGGUGGGGUAAUGGCCUACCAAGCCGACGAUCCAUAGCUGGUUUGAGAGGAUGAUCAGCCACACUGGGACUGAGACACGGCCCAGACUCCUACGGGAGGCAGCAGUGGGGAAUCUUAGACAAUGGGGGCAACCCUGAUCUAGCCAUGCCGCGUGAGUGAUGAAGGCCUUAGGGUUGUAAAGCUCUUUCAGCUGGGAAGAUAAUGACGGUACCAGCAGAAGAAGCCCCGGCUAACUCCGUG
Molecule: ribosomal RNA, 433 nt
Filed under: uncultured bacterium
Lineage: Bacteria
Description: partial 16S ribosomal RNA
Rfam family: Bacterial small subunit ribosomal RNA
Source: RNAcentral